Molecule: ribosomal RNA, 497 nt
Filed under: uncultured bacterium
Lineage: Bacteria
Description: partial 16S ribosomal RNA
Rfam family: Bacterial small subunit ribosomal RNA
Source: RNAcentral
GAAGAGCGCUGGCGGCGUGCCUAAUACAUGCAAGUCGAGCGAACAGACGAGGAGCUUGCUCCUCUGACGUUAGCGGCGGACGGGUGAGUAACACGUGGAUAACCUACCUAUAAGACUGGGAUAACUUCGGGAAACCGGAGCUAAUACCGGAUAAUAUAUUGAACCGCAUGGUUCAAUAGUGAAAGACGGUUUUGCUGUCACUUAUAGAUGGAUCCGCGCCGCAUUAGCUAGUUGGUAAGGUAACGGCUUACCAAGGCAACGAUGCGUAGCCGACCUGAGAGGGUGAUCGGCCACACUGGAACUGAGACACGGUCCAGACUCCUACGGGAGGCAGCAGUAGGGAAUCUUCCGCAAUGGGCGAAAGCCUGACGGAGCAACGCCGCGUGAGUGAUGAAGGUCUUCGGAUCGUAAAACUCUGUUAUUAGGGAAGAACAAAUGUGUAAGUAACUAUGCACGUCUUGACGGUACCUAAUCAGAAAGCCACGGCUAACUACGUG